UCGCUUUGGCAGCACAUAUACUAAAAUUGGAACGGUACAGAGAAGAUUAGCAUGGCCCCUGCGCAAGGAUGACACACAAAUUCGUGAAGUGUUCCAUAAUUUU
This 103-nucleotide small nuclear RNA is filed under the name Saimiri boliviensis boliviensis (Bolivian squirrel monkey). Lineage: Eukaryota; Metazoa; Chordata; Mammalia; Primates; Cebidae. The record is from RNAcentral.